GGUCAGGAUGAACGCUGGCGGCAGGCUUAAUACAUGCAAGUCGAACGGUAAGGCCGAGUGCAGCAAUGCAUGAGGUACACGAGUGGCGCACGGGUGCGUAACGCGUAUGCAACCUGCCCCGCAACCGGGACAAAACAGCUGGAAACGGCUGCUAAUAUCCCAUAGUCACCUGGGAGGGCAUCCUCCUGUGUGUAAAGAUUUAUUGGUACGGGAUGGGCAUGCGUAUUAUUAGGUAGUUGGCGGGUAACGGCCCACCAAGCCGACGAUGAUUAGGGGUCCUGAGAGGGUUAACCCCCACACUGGAACUGAGACACGGUCCAGACUCCUACGGGAGGCAGCAGUAGGGAAUAUUGGGCAAUGGGAGCAAUCCUGACCCAGCCAUGCCCGCGUGAAGGAAGACGGCCCUAUGGGUUGUAAACUUCUUUUGCCGCAGAGUAAACCCGGGGACGUGUCCCCGGUUGAGAGUAUGCGGCGAAUAAGUAUCGGCUAACUCCGUGCCAGCAGCGGC
RNAcentral lists this ribosomal RNA (508 nucleotides) under uncultured bacterium. RNAcentral's name for it is "bacterial SSU rRNA". It matches the Rfam family "Bacterial small subunit ribosomal RNA", at positions 22 to 518 of the family's 1533-position model. The record is from RNAcentral.